GAAAAAGGUUCAGACAACGUGGUCAGAGUUUUAACUGGUUCUUAUACGGUAUGUUCAGUGUGUCAACGUUAAAGACAAGUAGAAAUCAGUCUAAACAAAAUAACACAGCUCAGCCUAGCAUUUCUGUAAGAGAGGAGAUGCUGCUUAAAAUCACAAUCAUUCCAAGGUUCCCUGAAAAAUGUCAUUCCACGUGACCAUUCUUUUCCAAGUAAUUUCCAAAGUCCAUUAUGCUUAAAUCAGCAAGGGACUCUUACUUUGGAAAAUAUCCAGCUUGUUACAAUUCUCUGACCAAACAAAAGCUAUGAAAGAUAGGAGAGUUCUAUUUGCAUUUGGUUUUGGUUAUUUACUUUAUUAUCUUGCUUCCUUCUCAAGCAGCUAAAGACAAUGCAUAGAACACGUCUUAGUUCCAAAGAUCUGGAUCUUAUAUGUGGAGAGCACUGAAUUUAAUGGCAAGUUGGUUGUUGAGUGGAAACCCAAUAAUUUUGCAUUGGGGAAGUGAGAUACUUAUUUCUACACCACGGAGAAAAGGAAAAAGUGAAUCCAUACCGUGUAUGAGCAGUUUCCACAGGUGGCUUCACAAUAGGUGACUUGAAUGGCUUUCUCCACAUAUGGAAAACUCAGAAAAGUAUAAGGUAAGCCAAGGUGAUAAACAAGA
Molecule: long non-coding RNA, 655 nt
Organism: Python bivittatus (Burmese python)
Lineage: Eukaryota; Metazoa; Chordata; Lepidosauria; Squamata; Pythonidae
Source: RefSeq, a predicted model, not a curated record